AGGUGAUGGAUAUAGGGGAGGUGAUCAGGGAGGUGAUGGAUAUAGGGGAGGUGAUCAGGGAGAUGAUGGAUAUAGGGGAGGUAAUCAGGGAGGUGAUGGAUAUAGGGGAGGUGAUUAGGGAGGUGAUGGAUAUAGGGGAGGUAAUCAGGGAGGUGAUGGAUAUAGGGGAGAUAAUCCGGGAGGUGAUGGAUAUAGGGGAGGUAAUCAGGGAGGUGAUGGAUAUAGGGGAGGUAAUCAGGGAGGUGAUGGAUAUAGGGGAGGUGAUGGAUAUAGGGGAGGUGAUCAGGGAGGUGAUGGAUAUAGGGGAGGUGAUCAGGGAGGUGAUGGAUAUAGGGGAGGCGAUCAGGGAGAUGAUGGAUAUAGGGGAGGUAAUCAGGGAGGUUAUGGAUAUAGGGGAGGUGAUCAGGGAGGUUAUGGAUAUAGGGGAGGUGAUCAGGGGGAUGAUGGAUAUAGGGGAGGUAAUCAGGGAGAUGAUGGAUAUAGGGGAGGUGAUCAGGGAGGUGAUGGAUAUAGGGAGGUGAUUAGGGAGGUGAUGGAUAUAGGGGAGGUAAUCAGGGAGGUGAUGGA
Molecule: long non-coding RNA, 567 nt
Organism: Oncorhynchus keta (chum salmon)
Lineage: Eukaryota; Metazoa; Chordata; Actinopteri; Salmoniformes; Salmonidae
Exons: 5
Source: RefSeq, a predicted model, not a curated record